This 595-nucleotide ribosomal RNA is filed under the name Legionella sp. NS3. Its description in RNAcentral is "bacterial SSU rRNA". It matches the Rfam family "Bacterial small subunit ribosomal RNA", at positions 239 to 826 of the family's 1533-position model. Lineage: Bacteria; Pseudomonadati; Pseudomonadota; Gammaproteobacteria; Legionellales; Legionellaceae. The record is from RNAcentral.
GAUUAGCUAGUUGGUAGGGUAAGGGCCUACCAAGGCGACGAUCGGUAGCUGGUCUGAGAGGAUGACCAGCCACACUGGAACUGAGACACGGCCCAGACUCCUACGGGAGGCAGCAGUGGGGAAUAUUGGACAAUGGGGGCAACCCUGAUCCAGCAAUGCCGCGUGUGUGAAGAAGGCCUGAGGGUUGUAAAGCACUUUCAGUGGGGAGGAGGAUUGGUUGGUUAAGAGCUGAUUAAUUGGACGUCACCCACAGAAGAAGCACCGGCUAACUCCGUGCCAGCAGCCGCGGUAAUACGGAGGGUGCGAGCGUUAAUCGGAAUUACUGGGCGUAAAGGGUGCGUAGGUGGUUGGAUAAGUUAUCUGUGAAAUCCCUGGGCUCAACCUGGGCAGGUCAGAUAAGACUGUUUGACUCGAGUAUAGGAGAGGGUAGUGGAAUUUCCGGUGUAGCGGUGAAAUGCGUAGAGAUCGGAAGGAACACCAGUGGCGAAGGCGGCUACCUGGCCUGAUACUGACACUGAAGCACGAAAGCGUGGGGAGCAAACAGGAUUAGAUACCCUGGUAGUCCACGCUGUAAACGAUGUCAACUAGUUGUUGG